This 2010-nucleotide ribosomal RNA is filed under the name Didemnum sp. DidSB. Its description in RNAcentral is "bacterial SSU rRNA". It matches the Rfam family "Eukaryotic small subunit ribosomal RNA". The record is from RNAcentral. Lineage: Eukaryota; Metazoa; Chordata; Ascidiacea; Aplousobranchia; Didemnidae.
GCUCGUCUCAAAGAUUAAGCCAUGCAAGUGCAAGUACGAGCCGACGUCGAGAGACUGCCGGCGACACUGCGAAAGGCUCAUUAAAUCAGUCGUGGUUCAAGCGGUCGUGCGGCGACGCUCGCGCGUCGUCUUCGAGGAUAACCCUCAGAAAAUCUAGAGCUAAUACAUGCGAACGAGCGCCGACUUCGGGAGGCGUGCAUUUAUCAGACCGCGCGUCGGCCUGGGCUCUCUCGCGGGAGCCCAGUCGAUCGUGGUGACUCUGGAUAACGAGAAGCGGAUCGCACGAUCGAACUAAGAAGUCGAUCGGCGAUCGAUCGGACGAGCGUCCGACCCAUCAACUGCCGUCGGUACGGUCUCGGCCUACCGAGGUGCUCACGGGUAACGGGGAAUCAGGGUUCGAUUCCGGAGAGGGAGCCCGAGAAACGGCCGCCACUUCCAAGGAAGGCAGCAGGCGCGCAAAUUACCCACUUCAGACUCUGAGAGGUAGUGACGAGAAAUAUCGAUGUCGGGCCCCGACCGGGCGCCGGCAAUCGAAAUGAGCGCAGCUCAAAGAACCGAAGCUCCGAAGGUCUUCGUCUUCGAAAGGAGAGGUCGGCCGAGGGACGUGCGAGUAUCGAUCGGAGGGCAAGUCUGGUGCCAGCAGCCGCGGUAAUUCCAGCUCCGAAAGCGUAUGCUUAAGUUGUUGCGGUUCAAAAGCUCGUAGUCGGAAAAAAGCUUGGCCGCAACGCGGGCGCCUCGUCUCGAGGCGUCGUCGUCGUCGAAAGAGCCUUGAAACGGCGGUCGGCCUUGGCCUUCUUCGCGGAGGCCUCGAGAUCGAUCGCGCGUUGCCCUGAGGAAAUUGAAGCGCAUCAGGGCGGGUCGAACAAAGCGACCCAGAACAGUCGUGCACGGUACAACGGAAGACGGCCGCGGCAUCGCCGCCGGCGUCGAGUCUCUAGCUCGCGGCAAUGGUCGAGAGGGACGGACGGGGGCAUUCGUACUGCGCCGGGAGGGGUGAAAUCCGUGGAUCGGCGCAAGACGAACCGAAGCGAAGGCGUCUGCCAAGGACGUUUUCUUUGAUCAAGGGCGAAAGUCGGAGGUGCGAAGACGAUCAGAUACCGUCGUAGUUCCGACCCUAAACGAUGCCGACCGCGCGGCCGCCUACGUUCGAUAGUCGAUCGACGGACCCACGCGCUGGGCCCUCGGAGAUCGAAGAGGUCGACGUGGCCGCGCCGGGAGGGAAACCGGAGUCUUCGGGUUCCGGGGAUAGUAUGGUCGCAAAGCUGAAACUUGAAGGAAUUGACGGAAGGGCACCACCAGGAGUGGAGCCUGCGGCUUAAUUCGACUCAACGCGGGAAAACUCACCCGGUCCGGACGCCGCAAGGAUUGACAGAUCGAAAGCUCUUUCUCGAUUCGACGGAUGGUGGUGCAUGGCCGUUCUUAGUUCGUGGAAUGAUUCGUCUGGUCGACUCCGAUAACGAACGAGACUCGAGCUUGCUCGUAGCGCGGCCCGACCCCGGCGGUCGGAGCCUUUCGAAGAGCGCGUCGUCGACGACGACGCGCCAGCGAUCUCAGAGAGACGGGCGGCGGAAAGCCGCACGAGAUCGAGCGAUAACAGGUCUGUGAUGCCCUUCGAUGUUCGGGGCCGCACGCGCGCUACAAUGGUCGGCGCAAAACGAACACACGAUCGGACGACUCGGAGCGCGCCUUCGCGGGCGUGCGACGGUCGAUCCCGGACCGAGGCCGAGAGGCCCCGGCAAACGAGACAAACCCGAUCGCGAUCGGGACAGAGACUUGAAAUUGUUACUCUCGAACGAGGAAUUCCCAGUAGGUGCGAGUCAUCAUCUCGCGCCGACUGCGUCCCUGCCCUUUGUACACACCGCCCGUCGCUACUACCGAUCGAGCGUCCUAGCGAGGUCGCCGGAUCGCGAGCGUCGUCGACCUCGGCCUCGCGGCCUUGGAAAGCGCGCGCACCGCGAGAAGGCGAUCGAACUCGAGCGCUUAGAGGAAGUAAAAGUCGUAACAAGGUUY